This is a long non-coding RNA of Gasterosteus aculeatus aculeatus (three-spined stickleback), 3821 nucleotides long. NCBI's taxonomy places the organism in Eukaryota, Metazoa, Chordata, Actinopteri, Perciformes, Gasterosteidae. The record is from Ensembl.
GGGGGGGUGGUGGGGGGGAGUGAUGGGAGGCAAGGCUAUGGUGAACGAAAUUGAACCCAGGCCCUCACGGGGAGAAGUGGCGACUCGGCGGACGUACAGUAGCCGGACGGGGGAGUCAUUAUGGAAGGGUUCCAGUCCAUGGGCUGCACCUGUGGUUUUAGUAAAGAAGAAAGAUGGCUCCUGCAGGUUUUGCGUCGACUACCGGAAACUUAAUGCUGUCACGCAUAAGGAUGCUUAUCCCCUUCUUCGUAUCGAGGAGUCCCUGACCAGCUGAAGAGAGCGUAUUAGUACUCUACACUGGACCUAGCAAGCGGCUACUGGCAGGUUGAGGUCGACCCAAAGGAAAAGGAGAAGACUGCCUUUACCACCCCGGUGGGCCUCUACCAGUUCGAGAGAAUGCCGUUUGGGCUGUGUAACGCCCCAGCUACCUUCCAGCAUUUGAUGCAGCUCUGUCUUGGGGGGCAGGUGCAUGAUUUUUUACUGAUUUAGCUUGAUUACGUGAUAAUCUACUCACCUGAUUUUGCUGCUCCCCUAGGACACCUUGAACAAGUCUUCAGGCGGCUCGCCGAGCACGGGCUGAAGCUACAGCCUCUUAAGUGCCACCUUUUUCAGCGCUCUGUGCAGUACCGGGGCCAUGUGAUGGGUCGGGGAGGUGUAGCAACAGAUCCCGGUAAAACUGACGCGGUCAAGGAAUGGCCGUUCCCCUCGACUGUCCGCGAAGUCCACACCUCUUUGGGUUUUGCGGGCUACUAUCGGAGGUUUAUCCCUGCCUUCGCCAAGAAGGCUGGUCCACUCCAUGGGCUGCUAAGGGGGGCUACCGGGGCGAAGAGGCAGAGCGUGGACUGGAGAGGGCCUUUUGGGUGCUAAAGCAGGCCCUCCUGGAGGCCCCUAUAGUGGGUACGUUGAUUUUACGGUGCCCUUCCGUCUAAAUUGUUGUGGAAUAUUUCAAUAAAAGCUCGAUAGAAGAGAAUGAUUUGUCUCAUAAAACAGAGUCUUGAUGAAUGAUCAAAGUUGCAAAAAGUCCAUUUAUUGCUUGCAUGUAUAAUGCAUUACGUUCAGGAAUGAGGAAACAGUUAUUGCCAUAAUAUGUCAGACAUACAAGGAAUUUGACUGGGCGAUUGGUGCGUAACAGCAGACAGUACGACGAUGGACGACAAGUGCACGAGCAAUAAAAUAAAAUAUAAUGCUAUGGGUUAGUAGUAUAAGUCUAUGGGUUAGUUUAAAAAUAAAGCAAUACAAGUUAAACAUAUUUAAAAAUUAAAAAGAAAGUUCUCGACAUGACACGUCCUUUUCUGGAUGGAGAAGCGCUAUUACAUUACAGGUCAUUUAGCUGACGCCUUCAUCCAAAGCGACUAACAUAGCAUUUUGAACCCAUGGCUUCUUACAUUUUGGCCCGGGGAGCAAUUAGGGGCUAGGUGUCUUGCUCAGGGACACUUGGAUACUUGAACAUGGAGCAGCUCGACCUGCCAACCUUGCGGUUGCGCACCCUCUCUACUCCUGCGCCACGUCGACCCGAAUUACUUGCGUAAUACGGGUGUUUAACACGUCGGGAGAGAAUAUUGAGGCCCCGAUUAUAUAUAUUGUCAUUUCCAGAAGUACUUGUUUAAACAGUAUUGUUUUUCUUCACAGUCCAUCAAAUAUGUCCAUAACCUCACCCGUCCUCAUUGAACUACACUGUAACAAAUUGCUGUAAAUUUACGGUGCAUUUCUAACGGUAUCUUACAUAUGAUGACUUUGACUUACAUUGUUCAUUCUGUACACAUGGCAUCCAUUGUAGUCUGUCCAUCCCGGGAGUGGGAUCCCUCCUCUGACGUUCUCCCUAAGGUUUCUUCCCUUUUUUCCCUCUUGUAAGGGUUUUUUUCAUUUUUUGGGGAGUUUUUCCUGUGCCGAUGGAGGGUUUCGGGGCAGAGGAUGUUGUAUGUGUACAGACUGUAAAGCCCUCUGAGGCAAAUUUGUAAUUUGCGAUUUUGGGCUAUACAAAAUAAAAUGACUUGACUUGACUUACAGGACAUUACUAGACAUGCAGCGGUGACUUUUUUCCAAAACGCCCAUGGUUUGACAUAAUUUUAUAUGGAGUAAUAGGUGGUUCUAUUACUUGCCCAGGGACGCUUCGACUUGGCACAGGGAGCAGCCAGGAUUGUUAAAUACAUGGAUUAUUCAAAGUGUUCGUUGCCUAAAAGUCAUUUGGGACCAAGAAACAUCCAGGAAGAUUGACGAGAAACAUCCACAACGAUAGACAAUGACUCAAUAAGUGACACAAGAGACACACAAGGCUUAAAUACACUAGGGAGGUGCAGGUGAUUGGACACAGGUGGAAACGAUUAGACAAUCACAGGGGAUGACAGGACAAGGCAGGAAGUGAAGUUACCCGGGGACACGAGUGGCAGAAAACUACAAAAUAAGACAGGAAGUGAACCACACCGUGACACAGGGUACAAGUACUGAGGCAACGAAAUGCAACGAAAAGGCAACGAAAUGCAAUUUUCACCACCCUCUGCAGUGAUUUACGGUCCGCGACAGAGCAGCUGCCGUACCAUACUGAAAUGCAGUUUUUAAGGAUGCUCUCCAUGGUACAGCGGUAGAAAUUCUCUAGAAUCUGAGGAGACAGAUGGGCCUUCUUCAGUCUCCUCAGGAAGAAGAGACGCUGGUGUGCUUUCUUUACCAGGGAUGAGGUGUUGAGGGUCCAAGAGAGGUCCCCAGAGAUGUGGACACCCAGGAACUUGAAGCUGGCGACACGCUCAACCUCCGUCCCGUUGAUAUGGAUGGGGAUGUGUGUGCCAGUUUUCUUCCGGAAGUCCACAAUUAGCUCUUUGGUCUUCUUGGCGUUGAGGGCCAGGUUGUUGUCGGCGCACCACACCGCCAGGUGCUCACAGGUUUCUGUGGGUGGUGGUUGCAUCUGAUGGAGGUUACGUCUGAUGAUGGUUGCCCCUGCACUGGUCCUGCCUUAUCCCUGGCUUAAUAAUCCACAAUAUUUUAAUCAUUUCUGUUGUAGGAAUCGGAUGUACUGUACAUCUUUUACGUUGUUCAUACUCUACACACCUACUUCCCUGCUGUUUUCCCCUCAGGUUUCUCCAGGUUGUUUUUUUACAUUUUGGGGUUUAGGGGAUAGGGGGAUAGGGUGUUGCAUGUUUGAUUUGAAUUGAAUAUUGAACACGUUGACCAGAGGAAUCUGCUCUGUGCACUCUGACUCCCUUUACACAAAGAAUCAUCAAGUGAGGAUGAGGGAGACGCAGCUGAUUUCAGGUAUACUAUCCCAACUCAAGUGAGCCACAUCUUGUUACAGAAUCUAUAAUGAAGUUCCAAUGAUUCAGAAAAAUGGUCUACAAACACAGAAAAGUUGUUUCUGCACUUUUAAUUCCAUAGUUUAUUUCCCUGAAAUAUAUAUUUUAUUUCUGUAUUGUUUUUAAUUAGCAAAAGUGUUGUUAUAUGUAUAGUGUUAUAUUUAUAAUAAAUACAAAUUAAUAAAAUAAUGUGUUUGUCCUUGUUAAGGGCUGUUAACAUGGCAACUGUGACAAGUAUGUAACUUGUAAGUUUCCAGCAGGCAAUUUCUCCGUUGAAACAACGUUUAAAAGAGGUCUUUGGCCGGACGUUGAAGACACGUUGCAAAUUGGUUCAAAAGUGAAAGUUGUUUCAACGUCUAUUCACAGACGUUGAAAAGACCAACGUCGGGCGUAGACUUCCUUUAAUGGUCUUUUCAACCAAAAAAUGCUCACUGUGGAGUGUCAAUCAUGACCGACUGCUCCUGAACGUGACGUUAAACGCGCAAUCUCAGUUCAUCCAGAACACAUGUGCAGUUCAACAUCAGAGGAGUUUGUCAUUGC